AAACAAAGGUGUGUACUCUCCAUGUGGAUAGAGAGUACACACCUUUUUUUCC
MicroRNA precursor from Oreochromis aureus, 52 nucleotides. NCBI's taxonomy places the organism in Eukaryota, Metazoa, Chordata, Actinopteri, Cichliformes, Cichlidae. The record is from Ensembl.